This 1407-nucleotide long non-coding RNA is filed under the name Homo sapiens (human). RNAcentral describes it as "HSALNT0340021". The record is from RNAcentral. Lineage: Eukaryota; Metazoa; Chordata; Mammalia; Primates; Hominidae.
AAAACGACUGAAUGGUAUUUGUUAAAGCAUGGAGACAAAGACUUUGUCAGGAUAAUGACAGGCACAGGGACCUUGCAGUCAACAGUCUUGCAGCAAGGAAGAGAGAUUGGGCUCAACUCCAAAUGCAGCACGGGCCAGUGGGAAUUUAUAGCCAAGGAGCAGUGUGGGGGUCAGUGGAUGGAAAAUUACUCAAAGGAAGCGUUGGGGUAAGGUGGAUCUGGCUAAACCUAACAGGAUUCUCACUGAAGACAGGCCAGGGUGAUCAGACAUCACCUGGGGGAUGGUGCAGGAUGAGAAACCUGGUCAGACAUUGAGGCGAUCGGAUGUUGAUGUUGCUGGUUCUUGGUAAAACGACUUAGCUAGUGUCCUUUGCUAAAACUGGAUUUUACAAGGACGUGCACAAACAGGCCUAGCAGGAGAUUCAGAAGCCUGACUAAAAUUUGGCCAAGGAAAAAAAUCCUUGUCACCAGGAAAGUGAGGACUAUUGUCACCAAAUUCAGACUGCCAAUUGUUAAACAUUUACCUGCACAUACUGGGCUCAUCUUCAUUAUUGGUAAAAUGAGCUAGAUGCUAUUUUCCAUUAGCUCACACUCCAAUUCCAAUCGACCUGACCAUCAGAAGAGACAAAAAGGGAAAAUCCUGGCCAGUUCUCCCCUACCUGAUCAACCAGUAGCAUAAUCAGAUUUGCAAGACCUCAAGAAAAGAAACCUGAAAAUGCCACUGGAGGUGUGUGUUUUGCCAAAGAAAAAAGAAUCAAAAACAAAACCUGCAGGAUGAGGACAAACAAACAAAGAGCAGGGGCUCAGCCAUGAACCUUGUGAUGGAUGAGGAAAAGAUAUUCUUUUUCUCCCCUUACAGUUUCUGGCAGCCAACAUGGGGUGGCUGUGACACCCCACUAGUUCCAGAACCUGCAGAUGAGAUCCUGGGACAACCAAUAAAAAAACAACAAAAAGUUAAGAGUUUUUUUUUUUUUUUUUUUUUUUUUUUUUAAACCAAGAUCAGCUCUCUUGGAUCUCUGCUCCUAGGUAGGGAUUUCCUUUCCAAAUUCAGAUUAGCAGAAGAAAAUCAUUUGUUUGGAUUGUGACUCAUGUAAAUCUGAUUUGGGGAUACCCAUUAGUUAUUGAUCCUUUCCCUCCCAGGGACAGCUAUCUCAUUCCUGUUUCUCUCCUUUUGUUUCCUGAGUGCUUCGCUUCAUGAGUGGUGACAAAACUCUCUCUGGGCCCGGCAUGAUGGCUUAUGCCUGUAAUCCCAGCACUUUGGGAGGCCAAGGCAGGCAGAUCACUUGAGGUCAGGAGUUGGAGACCAGCCUGGCCAACAUAGUGAAACCCCGUCUCUACUAAAAAUACAAAACUUAGCUGGGCAUGGUAGCACAUGCCUGUAGUCCCAGCUACUUGGGAAGGUGAGGCA